CAGCAACCCGCUAUUUUGAGAGCAAUAUUUUAAUAUAAACAAUCAUGUUUAUUUGUUUAAUCUGCCUUCUUCAUCUACUUGCCAUGUUUAAUUUGCAAUUGGAUUUGAGUAGCUAUAUUACAUGUUUUCAUGUCCUGGAAUUGCUACUGUUCAUUGCUGUUAUAAUUACAUAUGGCAUUUAUCUGAGUUAUAUGCUUGUUUUAUUCGGAAUUAGUAUAUUUAAUAUAUUUAAAUAUUAUGGAAGUACUCCCUCCGGUACAGGUUUACAGGUCGUUCUGGCCACGAAGCGUUCUGCACCAAAAGAAGUCGUGGCACACGCGCCCAAGCGAUUCUUCCUAUUCUUUCCUUUGAUACCCCUAAUUAAUUGCAGCGCUCUUCGUUUUCUCCUCCAUCGCGCGCCAACAGGCGGUACCGCGCGUACAGGAACUCGCGAAAAACAGACGCGCGCCAACGAAACAAUGAAAAACCCACGGUAAAAAGACCGAAACGAUGAAAAAAUGUGCGCCCAAAACUCACGGAACAAAAAAAAAGACCGCGGCAAAAACAAGCAGCCACGGAGAAUCGAUACUGAGACCUGCUACUUAGCAGAUGCUGGCAAUAGCCAAUCGGCUAAAGAAGUUUUGUUGAUUUCAAUCCACUUGCCACCCUAUAUGAGGGUAAAAAUGGAAAAAUUACUCCAAUUAAUGACUCCUUGGUAGACUAAAUCUGGUCUUAAACGACUUCUAAACCUGUACCGGAGGGAGUAUGUCACUUAUUUGUCUAAAUUUACAACAAAAUACUCCUGCGCUGAAGGCGAUGCCGUGCGGUAAAUGCCCACUGCCGGCCGUGUUCCUCGGCGGGUGAUGCGCAGCGUGAGGGGCUGCGCUGCAAGCGGCAAUUUAACUGUACUUGCUCACUGUCGGUACCUGGUACGGGUACGUGCUGGCGCUGGCGUCGUCUAGCACUAGCAGUAGGCAGGCAGCAGGAGGGCAGAGAGUGAGACUAUCCGCAACCGUUACCCCUAAAUUUUUCCCCCUAUAUCACUUUUUCCCUCUAUUUUUCCUCCUAUUUUUUCAUCUCCCGCAGCGGUUCCCCCUAAAUACUCCCCCUAUACCCCACUACCACUAUAAAAUAUCAUUUUCUAUACCAACUAUCAAUUUUUUAUCUACUAACAAUUACUCGUGGACCCACAGUACAGUGUUGGAGGGAGUAAACAGUGAAACGCUAAAUUGAGGGAGAGGGAGAAGAGGGCCGCCGACUAGAGGGCCAUUUAGGGGAGGGCGCUGCAGCUGGUAGCGGUCACGUGUAGCCGCCAUCCACGCGCAAGGGGAGGGUAGAGUCAUGCGCUGCGGACAGUCUGAGGGGCCGUCUCCCUCCGAACCAGUCCCUGCGUCGGGGCGAAACAUGACCACCAUAUAUCUAUAUAUACUCUUCUUUCCAGGAUCAUUUGCGUUUUCCCAAUGCAAAAAGCUUAUUAUAAAAAAACCGCUAUCGUUCUGGGAAAUACAUGACUAGCCCUGGGCCCGCGGCCGUGCCCGUGCUGCAGGAGAUGAGGCCCGUCGUCAUCGCACCUGCGGCUGCCCCCACGGCCGGCGGCAGCGGGACAUGGCCGGUGUUUAUUGACCCGCGCUCUCAAACAAAGCUCUCGCCAGUUUGGCGUCCAGAUCGCGCGCAGACCAGGGCCGGCCGCUCCCACGCCGUCAGUCGGACGGUCGGAGCGGCUCGGCUCGCGCAGCGUUCGACACGGCUGUGGGAGCGCCGACAGCGGGGCACGCCGGCCACGGCGAAAGUGAAGGCACGGUCCUGUAGUACGUCCAUGCGUUGCUCGCUUUCUGGUUUCGCUGUCCGCCUUCGCCGUGGCCCGUGGGACCAAGUAAGUAACGGUGUUCACGUCGCCGGUUAGGGUCAGAGGCGAUCAGUUCCUCCCGCCGUGAGUAACAUCUCUACAACUAUUAAGACGAUAGUGUAGACCAAAUUUGUGCCUCCGCCUCCCCCGCGCCAUCCCCCGCCUACCCCCGCGCCCGUCCCCCGCGAAUGUCGCCCUGCACCCACCCGCGAUGCAAUCCCCACCCCCCGACGCCCACUCAUCGCGUGCGCCUGCUACAUAGCCAUGAGAGCGAGGGAGGCGUAGGGACCAGGGAGCGGUGGCAGCGUGAGAGAUCGACGGCCACAAGGACAGGGCGGGGGCCAACGUCGUCUUCAAGCCCCGCUCACCUUCCUCCUCCUCCUCUUCAGCGACGACCACCACCUCGCCACCAUUGCCGUUGUAGGAAGCGAAGGUGGAUCCGGCGCCCUCUUCCCCCUGCGAUGCAAAUCUCCCCCGCCCCCAUCCCCUUCUUCGUUGCAUCUCCGCAAUGGCGUCGGGCUCCUCUCGCCCCCAAAUUGACCAGGUAAAACCCUAACUCAUGCUCCAAAUCCGCCCCCGACAUCCUCGCGCACGGCGUAGGCCUACCGCCGCGACCUCGCCGAGUUUGGCACCGGCCUGCGCCGCGAGACCGAGGUGCUCGGCGAGGCCGUCGCCCGGGCCGAGCUGGACCUGCCAUCCUCCGCGCACGCGCUAGACAGACUCGCGCAACUCCGUCCCCGCCGCAGAUCUCGCCAUGCUGUAGCGCACCUCAGGCCGCAGCUCCGUGCCUCCGCUUCGCCUCGGUCUCCCUCCCACGUCUCCCGUUGUGCCCCUGUCCUCAACGCCUUUCCUCCGUCUGCCUGAGAUGCCGCGCGCGAUACCCGCCUGAGAAUUUGUUAAAAAGUCCAAGUGUUGCCACUACUAACUCACCAUCAUAUACCGUCCAUGACCUUGGGAACAGGGCGUGGUAAGUGCACCUGUCCUCCUUCGACCUCCAGUCCCAAGAUCCAAUGCCGGCUUUGCCGACUCCCCUGCGAAUUCAGUUUUCCAUCACACGUCCUGCCUACUGAUCAGGUGCACACAGUGGUCAAGAGUUCCGGUGCUCACUUGAGAAGGUCAGCGGUCGGCGCCGACAGCACCGUGGAGUACUUGUUCCCGUUCGGGCACGAAACAAAUGCCUAGGGUGUGAGAAAAACAAUGGUUGCUGUCAGUUGCCUUCCGGCCUGCUCGCUACUUCUCCCGCCCUCUCAUCGCAUUCUCCACUAUUUGGUUUUCGCAUCGCCUUCCAAAUCCAAAAGACCCAAGCCCUAGCUGUAGCCGCCCCCUAAGGUCAUCGAGAUGUCUCAGCGCGGUGAGACGGGCAGUGGAGACCGGCGGCCGCAUCGGCGUCGUCCGCGCGAUCAAGGGGUACAUCGAUGCCAUUGCCGACAUCCUCCACGACCACAUGGUGAGAUUGCUCCCCUCCCCUUUGCUAGAACUCCCACUAGGCGUCCCCUUCUGCUUGCCCAAAUCCGAACACAGGGCAGGUCUGGGGCACGAAUUGAACAUGGUUCUAUUUCAGCUUGGGAGUGUGCCAGUCGUCGACGACACGCGAUACGCUUCAAUCGACUUCGCCAACCACUGCACGCCGCAGGGGGAGGAGAGAUGAAGUGGGGACUGGCAGCCGUCAUGGCUUCCACGACGACUGUUGCACGUGAUUUCUCGGGGGAUAAAUGCAGGAGAAGUGAGGAAACUGCAGGAUACAAGGAUUUACAGUUGCAAUUGCCUUCUAAAACAGAUUUACAGCCACCAGCUACACUGAUGGCUGUCAUGCCCUCCAGAGAGACAGUAAGGACAAUAUUGCAGAACACGGACAUAAUGCAGCCAAGCAUGUAGCCUCAUUAAUCAGUGUAGAUACGCCUAAAGUCGGCCCUGACAUACAGCAACACACGACCAAGAAAAGAGUGUUCGAUCUGUUAGAGCUCGAUCAUCACCGAUAAAAAGGCUAUGAAGAAACUGUUUGUAAGUCAACUUGAAUGUAAAGACACUCCUGAUGAGCCCAGGCUGCAUACAACAUUGGUUCAAGGCUCUGCUUCUUGCCCUCCAGAAGAUUAAGGUAUCUCAGGAGCAGAAAAAAAUCUGCAUUGCGACAACUGAGCCACUUUUGAUGUUUGCCCUUAGCUGUGGAAUGUAUUCUUCUCCCAAGGUAAGCUGUCAAAGCAUCUUGGGUUUUGACUUCUCAGAUGACAACGAAGGUAACAUAUCUUGAUCCAAAUGCACCGUUGAAAGCAAUAAACAUGUGGCUAUACUCUAAAAUGAGAUUGUUGAUGAUAUUAUUCUGUUAAAUAUUUCAUGACACUCUUUUGCAUGGAAGCCAUCUUCUUAGAGGUGCUAACUAAAUGACAAACACUUUAUGCCAAGGCCACGAGUUGAGGAUCCAGGUUGAUUCUUUAUGGUUUUUAUUAAAUAGCAUGCUUUUUGUGUUGAUGAAUUAUCACAGCCCAAAAAAUGGAAAUGAAUGACCGAUUAGUGUGUAUAAAAUCAAGCAUAAGUUCUCCUUCCAUCAUCAGAUGGUGAAUAUCAAUAGACAGGAAUCCGAUGAACCACCAUCAGUAUAUAUCUUCAUCAACAGCAGCAUGUGUCACCUUGCUUCUAUAGAGAAGUAUGUGGUAUGUCUACAAUAUGCUUCAUUUGUUGGUGAUGUUCUUGUAUGUGUCAUAUGCACAGUCAGUUGAUUCUGUGUUCGUGCUUUUGCUAAUUUUAGGAAAAUUUUGCCACAUUUGUUCCAGUCCUUCUAUUCAAUCUUGAACUAGAUACAUUCCAGUAUGUCUCAUAUAUCCCAAACCAUUGCCUAUUUAUGAGGCAGUGGCUUAUGCAAUUCACGAUACAAUUCUACCGGGGGCUUAUGGGGUUUCCCCAAAAGGUUUGCACUACCGGUUUCUUUCUUAGUUCAUCCCAGUAUUUUAUAUCAGACGACAUGACUAUUACAAGGUAUUCAUUUGUCUUAUUUUUAUCCCAUCUAGACACAUGUUUGUGUUUAUUACUUAUACCAUCUGUGACUACUUUCCCUUCUCAACCGUGUAGACAAUCACAGUUGAUCCAUACAUAGUGAAUUACAGUGGAGUUGUAUUCUGCCAAUAGUAAUGUAAAUAUUGGAGAGGUUUAUUUGGAUUUCUUCACUUGAAAAGAUUAUAGUGUUGGGCAUGGAAUAGAAGAUCAAACUAAAUAACUAUGAGAAGUCAUUUGGUUGGUAAUGUCAUCCCUAUUUAUCAGCACCGACAACUACUAUUCUACUGAAUUACUGUUUGUAAAGGCCCUGUCAUGCUGAAGCAAGCUGAUGGUUCAUAUGCAUGUUUCGUAGAUAGUGAAGCUCGGUUCACUUUGGGACAGGUCAUACCAUAAGCUACUUGAAUACAUUUGCUCUACUUUUUUCUGCUCGCUUGUGUGUUUGUGGGGAAAAGAUACUAACUUCGUUGAACUUGUUGGGUUUGCAAUGCAAUUUAUCUUCAUUUAUACAAAAGAACUAUUGAGAGUUAUUGGUUUACAAGAAGAGGGAAGCUCACUUGAAUUUCUAAGAAGAGGAUACAAGAAUGCUACAUGGUGGGAAUAGGACGUUGAUCAGUGAUCAGGAGAAGUCGCAUGCCUGGCGAACUUGAGGUGCUGCACCUGCUGGCUGGAUGCUUUUCUGAUUUGGAAUUGGGAAUGAUUUUUUUCCUAACGAGUGUCCAUGUCUUGUUGUAUGUAAUAGAUAAAUAUGAAAUUACACACAGAGAAGUCCAUGUAUGCGUAAAAGACAUGAAAAGUUGAAAAUUCAAUCAAGCAUACUGUUUGAUCCGUGAA
Zea mays is the source of this 5644-nucleotide long non-coding RNA. RefSeq lists it as uncharacterized. The record is from RefSeq and is a predicted model, not a curated record. The transcript is spliced from 7 exons. NCBI's taxonomy places the organism in Eukaryota, Viridiplantae, Streptophyta, Magnoliopsida, Poales, Poaceae.